Molecule: unclassified non-coding RNA, 401 nt
Filed under: soil metagenome
Description: partial contains 5.8S ribosomal RNA, internal transcribed spacer 2, and large subunit ribosomal RNA
Rfam family: 5.8S ribosomal RNA (bases 1-121)
Source: RNAcentral
GAUGAAGAACGUAGCGAAAUGCGAUAAGUAAUGUGAAUUGCAGAAUUCAGUGAAUCAUCGAAUCUUUGAACGCACCUUGCGCCCUUUGGCUAUUCCGAAGGGCAUGCCUGUUUGAGUAUCAUGAACACCUCAACUCUCGUGGUUUGCUACGAUGAGCUUGGACUUUGGGGGUUUUGCUGGCCUGUGGUCGGCUCCUCUCAAAUGAAUCAGCUUCCCAGCGUUUGGUGGAGUCGCAGGUGUGAUACCUAUCUACGCUUGUGGUUUUUCGCCAGAUAACCUUUGGUGACGGAGGUUCGUUGGGGCUCAUAAAUGUCUCUCCUCAGUGAAGAAAGCUUUUGAACGUUUGAUCUCAAAUCAGGUAGGACUACCCGCUGAACUUAAGCAUAUCAAUAAGCGGAGGA